CCUACGGGAGGCAGCAGUGGGGAAUAUUGCACAAUGGGCGCAAGCCUGAUGCAGCCAUGCCGCGUGUGUGAAGAAGGCCUUCGGGUUGUAAAGCACUUUCAGCGGGGAGGAAGGCGGUGAGGUUAAUAACCUCAUCGAUUGACGUUACCCGCAGAAGAAGCACCGGCUAACUCCGUGCCAGCAGCUGCGGUAAUACGGAGGGUGCAAGCGUUAAUCGGAAUUACUGGGCGUAAAGCGCACGCAGGCGGUCUGUCAAGUCGGAUGUGAAAUCCCCGGGCUCAACCUGGGAACUGCAUUCGAAACUGGCAGGCUAGAGUCUUGUAGAGGGGGGUAGAAUUCCAGGUGUAGCGGUGAAAUGCGUAGAGAUCUGGAGGAAUACCGGUGGCGAAGGCGGCCCCCUGGACAAAGACUGACGCUCAGGUGCGAAAGCGUGGGGAGCAAACAGGAUUAGAUACCCUGGUAGUC
This 465-nucleotide ribosomal RNA is filed under the name uncultured Klebsiella sp. RNAcentral describes it as "bacterial SSU rRNA". It matches the Rfam family "Bacterial small subunit ribosomal RNA", at positions 338 to 795 of the family's 1533-position model. Lineage: Bacteria; Pseudomonadati; Pseudomonadota; Gammaproteobacteria; Enterobacterales; Enterobacteriaceae. The record is from RNAcentral.